Long non-coding RNA from Armigeres subalbatus, 7353 nucleotides. RefSeq lists it as uncharacterized. The transcript is spliced from 2 exons. NCBI's taxonomy places the organism in Eukaryota, Metazoa, Arthropoda, Insecta, Diptera, Culicidae. The record is from RefSeq and is a predicted model, not a curated record.
ACACCACCGACGAACCGACGUUUUAACUUAACGGAAAAUAAUUCAAAUUUGCUGCCCACGACACCAUGACGAAAAAUCAUCGAACACUACCGCUACCUCCAUAAUGGCUCGCGAAGUUUUCAUAGCUCAGGCACCAACCUACGUGUAUUAACAUUGCAGCGGAGUUGUGUCUUAGCUCAUUUGACAGGAGUGUUCGCCCGCAAAAGCGAAUGACCGUUAAAAAGUGUGAUCAAACAAUCAGAGAGCGCAGGUGACACGUCGGUUCGUCGGUGAUUACACCGUGUCCUUAGCUUCCAUUGUUUGAAAUACAGAGAUCACAGAGCAGCAAACCUUGAUCGAUUUUUUAAACUUCAAGAGAUCUUUUCAUCUGUGGUACAAUAAGUCCCAUUUUUUAUCCAGGAAGCGAAAGCUAUAUAAUACGCAGCGCAGAACUUGAUUUUUUGAUGACUGAAUAGCUUACAUCAGUAGUCAAUUGAUUAUGCCCAGCUUUCUAUUGGAUUAAACACUGUCAAAUGUAUGAAAUUUUGAAUCAUCUGGAGCGAUGUUCGCAAAUAUCUCCGGUAAAAUACAAACUUUUGAGACUGUUGAACAUAAAUUGGUAUAUCCAGCCAGGGACGGAGACUGUGGGUGCCCAACAUUUGAAAACCAAUAAAACAGUUGCAUAAAUUGUUAAGACAUGCAUGGAAGAAUUCGCUCAACACCAAAAACUCGUCCUCGGUCGAUUGGGGUAGUGAACAUCUAAAAAGAUGUGGUAAGCAAUUCUUAGUUUUUAUAUAUUUAAACAGGCCGGAACAAAUUUUAUCUGCUUCUUCUUCUGUCUUCUCAAAUAUUCGUGGCUAAAUUUAAUUAUUUGAAAAAUAAUGAAAGUUUGAGCUUUCAUAUAAAAUGCUUUAAGAAAACUGAUAAGUUUUUUAUUUCUAGAUUGCUUUGAGAAUAGGUCGUAUGUGCAAAAGAGAGAUUCUCUUUGAUCACGCUCUCUUUCGCUAAUAUAUCGGCUAGUUUGGCAUGUUUUGCUACAUUUCCACUUCAGCAUGAUAGACAAAGCUAUUGUCUUUGUAUACAUGCCAAGAAAUUCGAAGUAAACUGUUGUAUAGUUUCGUAAUAAUCGAAAGAGAAUAGAUCCAAAGAGAGACUCUCUUUUGCACAUACGACCUAUUUUCAAAGCACUCUAGAUUUCAGCAAUUUAUGGCUUAUUUUUUUUUUAUUUCCUAGCCACUUCAUUACUGGAAGACCGGCCUAAUUGGAGACUUCAUAAAAUAUAAGCUCAGUGGGAAAGUUUAAAGCUCACUCGCCGCAUCCAGCUUAACAGAGCCGAUGUUCAUCUAAUACUACUUAGUAUUACAACCCUUCCCAUUUUUAUUUCCCAAAUUUUUUUUAACCUUCUCAAAAAUUUCCAUCUGAUUCGCGUUGAGGAAACACUGAUCCGUACAAGCUUUUUUUGCAUCCAUCUCUCUACUUCGCUUUGACUGACUGACGGUGUUUUUUCGUUACUUCAUUAUAUUCGGACGAUGAAUUAGAUACAUUAAUGCUGUCCAAUGAGCAGCUCGAAGUAGCUCGAAGUUGUUCCCGUCCUGCUCGUUCUUUUUUGUCAACAAAUGGGCAUGAGCAGGACAGAGAGAAACUUCGAGCUACUUCAAGCUCUCAUUGGACAGCACUAUUGUCUUCGAUGUCAAUCCACUCGUCAUCGUUUUGCGGUCGUUCUUCUGCUGCUGAUUUAGGAGGCGUUGAUGGUUUUUAAUUUGUGUUUAACGUUGGGAAUUCGGCCUGGUCGAACACCUCGUCUUGUGAGGAAAUUGUUGAUGAAAUUGCCGCAAUAUUUCUAUUUGACUGUUCACAGGUUUUGUUUGGAUGCGCUGGUUUAUCACACCGGCGACAUAUUUUCGGCUGGUUACAGUAAGGUACCAUACAGGUGUACUCGCCAGUUGAUAUGAAAGACGGAAUGUGUUGGAGUAAGUUCAUACGCAGAACUAGUACACCGUUCGGAAUCCCCGGAAAGUUAUGCUUCCAUGACUCGUUCCGAAUAGAAAUAACUUCUCCAUAAGCAUAUGCUCGCGUAAAGUAGCAUGGCUUAUCGAACCGGGUAAGUCGUGAACUCUAACGAUUACCGCAUCCCUAUCCAUAUAAAUUGGUAUCUUGUAUGACUUUCCUUCACACACAAUUGAUCGCUUGCAAUUGUGUUCUGAUUGAUAGCGCAAAGCGACUUCUUUGUCUAUCAACCCUAUAAGAACACAAUUGCGGGUGUUAUGCAAUUGGAUGCUUUUGACAUCCGCAUAUUCGAUCUUUAGCUGAUCAUCCAGAAAACGCUUCACUUUUCCGGCAUAUGGACGAAUUGGGAGGACACCGAAAUCCACUACUAUUGUUGAUUCCUGCGUAUUGUUCAUUGUUUUCACGUUAGCGAGAGACAACAAACCAGAACGCGUCCGCCGUGUGCGAUAGCAGAAUAAAAACUGAAACAUCUUAUGAUGUUUUUACAUAAAAAUCCGGGUUCUUAUGAUCUACUGCCAAAAAUUUGUGAUUAGUAUGUGACAGUAAUUUGAUAAAACUUUACUCUAAACACUUCAAAGUUUGAGAUUCUGAACCACAAGUUUUAAUGUGAAAUAUUUAAAUAUAAAAUGCACUAAUUUCAGCAAAUCUCAUAUUUCAACUAUUGUCCAUCUGGCGGUCACAAAUUCAUUUUAUCUCUAAUGCAACAUUUCAUCGCAAGUGAAGAAAAUCUAAUAUAUAUUUUUCAUACAUUUCGUUAUGAUAGGAUAAAAGCGUAUGCAAUUCCACCCCGGGCCCCCUAAUUUACGCCAAUGGACAUAUAGCGUCGUAAAAAUGAUUAAGCGAGAUAUUUCCUCAAUUUUAGAAGAGGGAAUAGAAAAUACGGGCAAAGGAUAUAAAAGCCAGUAAUAUUCUAUAGCACCAGUGGAUGAUACACGCUCUGAUACACGGCUCCAACGUGCCAGCAGAGAAAGCACCAUCUUGGUCAGUAGUUUUACGUGUCACAGUCUUUCUUAUUGAUGCGGAAUUGAAGCAAUUCCUUGACCUUUUUUGAUCCUCAGAAUACCUAAAAUGCAGUUUUCCUACCUACCUACAUUGAGCAUAAACGUUCACAUUUACCCACUGCGGCUGAAGAUAGCUUUAUAUUUAGAAGCCACUGCCGUUCUACGCAUGUUGUAUAUAAUCUUUUUUUUAACCAAAAAGAAGUAAUGCUAUGGCUUGCAGGGAAACGUCUACAUAAAGUAUGACCAUGUAGUAUGUUCUAAGGAAUUAUUGUCUGCUCUCACAGGAUUAAAAAAAAACAAUGGAAACAUUUUCAAAUCAUUUUUUUAAUAAAAUGACAAAAUUAUUCGAGUUUGGAUUUUUGACAAAGGUUGCAUUAUCAACCGAAAAAUAUUGAAAAAUACUAUUGUGGAUUGCUAAAUGACAACCUCACACAACCGGUCCUGGAUUUAACUAAAGAAAGUCAAUACAAAGCCUUCAGAUACAAUUCGAGAAAGUAGUUAACACAAAUAUUGAAUUGUAUCGCCAGUUUCUUUAUACAGUCAAACCUCCAUGAGUCUAUAUUGAAGGGACCGUCGACUAAUAAAAAUAUCAAGAUGUGGAACAAAAAAUCGUUGGGAAACUGUUUGAAGGGAUCAUCCCAGCUUCCAUCAGUCUAUACCGAGUCAUAGAAUAUCGACUCAUGGACGUUUGACUGUAAUUAGAACAACAUUCAUGAUCUGAUAUUUAGUUCCGCAUCUUCCAUCUUAUGGUACCGUGACCUGCCCUAAUUCCGCGCAUCGCCUAAUACCGUGGUUUUCAUCAAAAAUCAGAACCUGGCUAUCAUGGACAUCGUAUUAUUUGGUGAAAUGUUCAAACAUAUUAUUUGUGAACAUUUCACCAAAUAAUGUGAUGUCCAUGAUAGCCAGGUUCUGACUUUUUAUGAAAACCACGGUAUUAGGCGAUGCGCGGAAUUAGGGCAGGUCACGGUAGUAUAUUAUGCUGGUAGUAAUGUCUAAAUAUGCAGAAAUCUAUGAAAAACAUCAUUGCAAAUGUUUAUUGUUCAAGUCCUCUCGAAACAACCCGAAUUCUUUAUGCAUAUCUCAACGUAAAAGAACAAAAUGUCAUCCUAAAGAAGCAAAAAGAAAAGACGAUCAAAUCGUCACAAAAAAAUGCCCCAACUAUUUUUUUAUUACUAGGCCUUAUUAUCCAGUGUCAAUUCGUUAAUCAAUUAUUAUGAUUAUACUAUUUUGCUUAGUUAGAAGUAAACGAUUGUGAAAACAGCUCUCAUUUUUAUAACAAAAUUAAGAUUUAUUAUGGUAAUAUUGGAAUAUGUAAAAAUAUUUUAAAAAUACAAAAAAAAACAAAAAAAAAGAAAACUACAAAAAAUUUGAAUGUAACACAUAGAAAAUAUUACGAGCAGCGUUAUUUGUUUCAUUAUUGUUUCACAAUGUAGACAUUUUAGAACCAUUGUGGCGCCAUAGUGAAACGUUCAGCGCAGCGAUUAUACGUAGACAUUAACAUGUAUUAAUAAUUUAUAUUGUGAGAAAACAAAAAAAAACAAAAGAAACAAAAAAAAUUAAAAAAUCAAAAAGCCGAAAAAACUAUUAUUGAUGAAACCUAGUGAUUAAUGUUUAACUAUAUAUGUAUGAUAUAAAAAUAUAAACUAUUACACAAAAACUGAAAGGAAAUAAUAGAAGCAAAGCAUAUAUUUAAAAAAAGAACUUAUGUGGAAAAUCUAUAAAUGUACUUUUUACUAGAACAAAAAUAAAAGAAAACACAUGAUAAGAAGUGAAACAACAUAGUGGUAUGCCUACACAACUAAAUUGGUUUUGCUGAUAUUAGCAAUCAGUUAUGUCGGAAAACUUGAAUCAGCAUAAAUUCAACUAGAAACUAAGGCAAUGAAGAAUUUUGCUUUCCUCAAUGCUUUAUUUCCUGUUCCGUAUUAGGAUUUGCACUUGAUCAACUUACUGAUUGCUAACUCUCGUAAAACAUGACUGGAACAGCGAAUCCACUGUGACCGCAUCUAAUUCUGCGCAUAUUUUGUAAACUGAAAUAUUCUUGAAAUAUAUAAUUCUUGCUUGAUAUAGUGAUAUUUACUCACCUAUGGCGGCUGUUUGAAUUUUUGAAUUACCUAUGUCUAACUUUUGUGAAGACAUAAAAUGUACACAUUAUUGUGCGCAGAAUGUAAUAUUCCUAAAUUUAAAUUUCUUUUUUUUAUGUCAGUGGAAUCAGGCUUCAGAGUUUAAAUAAUCUUCAAAUAAAUGUCUGUGAUUUUGAUACACAUGCCAAAUUUUGUUUCAGUAUCUUUUACAAUCCAUAAACUGUGAACCACAAAAUGUUUUGAUAUUGUUAUGUAACCAGAGUUUCCAUUCUACAUCAGAAGUAUACAGGAGUGUACAAUGAACCAUGUUGAAACAAAAAGUAGAAGGUGGAUUCUAAUCAAAAUUUCCGUUACGGUAUCUGGAUGGUAAUUUUCAGGCAUGAAUUUAGUUAGUCUCCCAUUAAAACAUAUUAUAGACACGAGUCUUGGAUAAAAAAGAAGUUUCACUCGAUGUUACUUAAAUAUUGAAGUGUGUUGCAUUCUCAAAUUCGCAAGAAGUUGUUUUCUCUAUUUCUACUUUCGUUGAAUGUAUGUUGUAGCUAGCGAUUGUAAUGUAAUACGUUUUAUUAAAAGUUAUUUUUGGCGGUCUAUCGAAACGUUGGUUUAGAAUUACCGUUGCUUUCAAUUUCGUUAGGUUGUUUCAUAUUCUGCAUCAUUUAUUUGACGAAAAAAUAACUAGGAAAGAAAAGCAUGGAAAAUUGAAUAAAUUUUAGGUUGCUAAGCCUUUGAAAAAUCAUCUGAAGCAAUUUUUUAUAAGAAACUAUUCUGAUGGAAUUUGAUUCAGGUGCCAACAUGCUGAACUCUGACCGAAUUUCUAAAAGAUUCCAUUCUUUGGCGGAGUUCAUUGAAACGAUUAAGAAAAAUACGGAUUGUUUGGAGGAGUUCUGCUACAUUAUGAUGCAACUUAUGAACGACUACAUUGAGCAACUCCUGAUAAUAUCUAUGAAAAUCUUUUAGAUAGUUCUUCAAAAACCUCUUGUGGGUGUUUCUAGGGAAACACUUUCGUGAGAAGUCUGCAAAUUAUUGUGUAGGAUUUUUAGAAGUUUUGGAAGUAUUUUCUGAUAAAUGUGAUGAAAUUUAAAAAAAAAUCUAUACGGAAUAUAAGAACAAAGCCUUGAAUUCCUAGGGUAUAGACAUAUGCCUACACGAAAUUACUAUUUUAAAAUAAAUGCCCAUAAUUUUUCCAUAAAACACGUAGUUCAUAGAGGGACUUCUGGAAAAAAAAUCCUCUGCAUACAACUAGAGAAACGUUUGAAAAAAUAUCUGAUAAAGAAAUCUCACGGAAAAAAAAUCUAAAAACAUUUUUUUAGGGUUUUAGAAAACAAAUCUAUAAAAAAAAAUGAUUAGAAAUGAAAAUUGGGCACCAACACACAGCGAAUUUUGAGGGAUAAUAAAAAAGACAAACUGCAGAUACUGAUUUAUUGAGAAUGCUUUUUCUCUCGUUAUUUUUUUCUUGCAGCUAUGCGGUUUAUUGAAUACCUAAAAUCGUAUAUCUACACCAUAACAACCUAAUUUAGCUUUGAGUUGUAUAUGAGCUUUGAGUAAUUAAACUUUAAAGUUUAAGAUGUUAGCAUUGCAUGAUAUUACAGUACACAUUGCUUUAUGUGGCCAUAAUUGUAUCGAAUUGAUCAACAUUUAAACAAUCAUUGUAAAAUGUUUUUCGUUAUAUUACUACCAACUAUGUUGUUUCCUCCACUCAUUUGUUGCACUAUUGCUGACAAAACAUGGGUCUUAGUAAAAAAAAACUAUGGAUGGAUACUGAGAAAACGUAAAAAUCAAUGAUAAUGUUUGAUGGUUUAUGAACUGCAGAGCUUGUUUGACUUAACUCCAGCACUACUUGGCUCAAUGGCUCAAUCAUCGCAGAAAGAACUAAAGCAGUAUUAAUCGAUAUGGACAAGAUUAGGAAACCACUGAAGGAAUAUCACGGUAAGAAAAAAUCGAUUAAAUACAACUAAUUUUUUUUCGAAUCUAACCCAAAAAAUUAAGCCCAAUUCCAUAAAAAAAAAGAUAAUACUUUGGAUUAAUCGUUAGAGAUCUUAUUCAGGCAUAAUAAAUCAUAUGCAAGUUAAAAUACAGCGAAUCAAUCCUACAACCAACAAAAAUCGUUCAAUAAAUAUAUGCCACAUUAAGUUCGAAAAAACAACAAGUUUUGAGUUUUUGUGUAAUUUUUAUAACUACUGCUAUAUGUUGAUAAUUUAUUUUAUUGCACGCAUAACAACCCGCAUGGAACAGAAUGAAUCCAGAAUCAAAUUUAAAAAAUAAAACUAUCACAAAUCAUUGAAAAA